This is a non-coding RNA of Potamilus streckersoni, 73 nucleotides long. The record is from the annotation of a GenBank genome assembly. NCBI's taxonomy places the organism in Eukaryota, Metazoa, Mollusca, Bivalvia, Unionida, Unionidae.
GCUCCGGUGGCCUAGUGGUUAGAGCGUCCGCCUCUGAUGAAGGAGGUCGUGGGUUCGACCCACGGCCGAGUCA